This 1689-nucleotide ribosomal RNA is filed under the name Enterobacter chuandaensis. RNAcentral describes it as "partial 23S ribosomal RNA". It matches the Rfam family "Bacterial large subunit ribosomal RNA", at positions 1271 to 2925 of the family's 2925-position model. The record is from RNAcentral. Lineage: Bacteria; Pseudomonadati; Pseudomonadota; Gammaproteobacteria; Enterobacterales; Enterobacteriaceae.
UGCUGGAGGUAUCAGAAGUGCGAAUGCUGACAUAAGUAACGAUAAAGCGGGUGAAAAGCCCGCUCGCCGGAAGACCAAGGGUUCCUGUCCAACGUUAAUCGGGGCAGGGUGAGUCGACCCCUAAGGCGAGGCCGAAAGGCGUAGUCGAUGGGAAACAGGUUAAUAUUCCUGUACUUGGUGUUACUGCGAAGGGGGGACGGAGAAGGCUAUGUUAGCCGGGCGACGGUUGUCCCGGUUUAAGCAUGUAGGCGGAGGUUCCAGGUAAAUCCGGUACCUUUUAACGCUGAGGUGUGAUGACGAGGCACUACGGUGCUGAAGUAACAAAUGCCCUGCUUCCAGGAAAAGCCUCUAAGCAUCAGGUAACACGAAAUCGUACCCCAAACCGACACAGGUGGUCAGGUAGAGAAUACCAAGGCGCUUGAGAGAACUCGGGUGAAGGAACUAGGCAAAAUGGUGCCGUAACUUCGGGAGAAGGCACGCUGAUAUGUAGGUGAAGCCCCUGCGGGUGGAGCUGAAAUCAGUCGAAGAUACCAGCUGGCUGCAACUGUUUAUUAAAAACACAGCACUGUGCAAACACGAAAGUGGACGUAUACGGUGUGACGCCUGCCCGGUGCCGGAAGGUUAAUUGAUGGGGUUAGCGGCAACGCGAAGCUCUUGAUCGAAGCCCCGGUAAACGGCGGCCGUAACUAUAACGGUCCUAAGGUAGCGAAAUUCCUUGUCGGGUAAGUUCCGACCUGCACGAAUGGCGUAAUGAUGGCCAGGCUGUCUCCACCCGAGACUCAGUGAAAUUGAACUCGCUGUGAAGAUGCAGUGUACCCGCGGCAAGACGGAAAGACCCCGUGAACCUUUACUAUAGCUUGACACUGAACACUGGUCCUUGAUGUGUAGGAUAGGUGGGAGGCUUUGAAGCGUGGACGCCAGUCUGCGUGGAGCCGUCCUUGAAAUACCACCCUUUAAUGGCUGGUGUUCUAACGUAGACCCGUGAUCCGGGUUGCGGACAGUGUCUGGUGGGUAGUUUGACUGGGGCGGUCUCCUCCCAAAGAGUAACGGAGGAGCACGAAGGUUAGCUAAUCCUGGUCGGACAUCAGGAGGUUAGUGCAAUGGCAUAAGCUAGCUUGACUGCGAGAGUGACGGCUCGAGCAGGUGCGAAAGCAGGUCAUAGUGAUCCGGUGGUUCUGAAUGGAAGGGCCAUCGCUCAACGGAUAAAAGGUACUCCGGGGAUAACAGGCUGAUACCGCCCAAGAGUUCAUAUCGACGGCGGUGUUUGGCACCUCGAUGUCGGCUCAUCACAUCCUGGGGCUGAAGUAGGUCCCAAGGGUAUGGCUGUUCGCCAUUUAAAGUGGUACGCGAGCUGGGUUUAGAACGUCGUGAGACAGUUCGGUCCCUAUCUGCCGUGGGCGCUGGAGAAUUGAGGGGGGCUGCUCCUAGUACGAGAGGACCGGAGUGGACGCAUCACUGGUGUUCGGGUUGUCAUGCCAAUGGCACUGCCCGGUAGCUAAAUGCGGAAGAGAUAAGUGCUGAAAGCAUCUAAGCACGAAACUUGCCCCGAGAUGAGUUCUCCCUGAGACUUUAAGUCUCCUGAAGGAACGUUGAAGACGACGACGUUGAUAGGUCGGGUGUGUAAGCGCAGCGAUGCGUUGAGCUAACCGAUACUAAUGAACCGUGAGGCUUAACCUUACAACGCCGAAG